GACGAACUGUGCAAACGUUAUUCGGAAUCACUGGGCUUGAAGAGUGCGUAGGCGGUUUCGUAAGUAGGGUGUGAAAGCCCCCGGCUCAACCGGGGAAUGGCGCCCUAAACUGACGGGCUGGAGUGAGAUAGGGGUGUGCGGAACUUCCGGUGGAGCGGUGAAAUGUGUUGAUAUCGGAAGGAACGCCGGUGGCGAAAGCGGCACACUGGAUCUCAACUGACGCUGAGGCACGAAAGCCAGGGGAGCGAACGGG
RNAcentral lists this ribosomal RNA (253 nucleotides) under uncultured prokaryote. RNAcentral's name for it is "partial 16S ribosomal RNA". It matches the Rfam family "Bacterial small subunit ribosomal RNA", at positions 524 to 776 of the family's 1533-position model. The record is from RNAcentral.